AUCCGAUUCACUUGGACUGCUGACACCCCUACUUUCCUUAGAGCCGGACUCAGACUUUGGUACUGGAUCGGGUGAGGUCCAGUCUCCAAUUGCACACGAACUUUGUGGCAAUCAAGAGUGGCCCGACACUUUCCCAAACAGAUUCAUGCCUAGGAUCAUCUCGUGAUUCUGUAGGCGCGUGGAUAUUUUUCUCGAUCAGAUCUACAGGCAGAUUUCUCUCCUGGAUCAUCACCGGGAUAUUUUUCAUGAGCCCUAGUGAAUGCAUUAUUUGCCCACCGCUGCCCUCACUAGUCUUGAAUCAUCCCCAGAACUCAGACAGAACUCUUUCCGACCAGUCCCGGACUCACAAAACUAUGUGUAGCCUC
RNAcentral lists this long non-coding RNA (365 nucleotides) under Brassica napus (rape). RNAcentral describes it as "long non-coding RNA (BNAP_LNC013245)". The record is from RNAcentral. Lineage: Eukaryota; Viridiplantae; Streptophyta; Magnoliopsida; Brassicales; Brassicaceae.